UUAAUUAAAUUGGGCUUUCUUAUUUUUAAUUAAUUGAACUAUUAUUAGUUUGAUUAAUUUAUUUAAAGGAUAAUUUUUAUAAUAAUAUUAAAUUAUUAUUAAGUGCAUAUUUUAAGUAAUUACUUAUCAUAUGCUAAGCAUGACAUGACAUUUCAUUUGCAUCAUGAAAUAAAAAGUAUUUAUGAUUUAAUUGGUUUUAUUUAUAAUUCCAAUUAUUAAAGAAAGAUGAGUAAGAAUAUUGUUGGUGUUCUUAACUCAAGAGAAAUGUUUUUAAUUAUUUAUUCAUUAAAAACCCGGCUAAGUGAAUCAUAGAAUGUUAAGCACUACACCAUGACUUAAGAUUAGAUUCAAGGAGACCUAUUAAGAAUAGAAUUUCUUGUAGGCUUUGUGGACCAAGGGGAUUAGCACUGCUUUCCCAAGACAGGUUAUGUGAUUAUGAUCUUCAGGCUUUGCCUAUCCAGGUUGAGCAGUUGAUGGAAUGGAAUGAUGUUGAGCGGGUGUUCCUUUGACAUUUCAAGAAAUGUAACCUUGAGUAUACAUCUUCAUAUGUAUAUCUCACACGUUUUCCGCUGCAAAACACUUUGAUUAGGAUAACUUUAUGUUAUGAAAUUGUGACACGUGUUAUUGGGUAACCCACCUUAAUCAGUUCUCAUUUAUGUGUAUGUUUUAUAAGUAUCCAAAUAAUCAUAUAUGAUCCUAGCAUUUUAUCUAUGAGUGACAUUUCCAUA
This is a long non-coding RNA of Salvia miltiorrhiza (redroot sage), 728 nucleotides long. RefSeq lists it as uncharacterized. The transcript has 2 exons. Lineage: Eukaryota; Viridiplantae; Streptophyta; Magnoliopsida; Lamiales; Lamiaceae. The record is from RefSeq and is a predicted model, not a curated record.